Molecule: unclassified non-coding RNA, 336 nt
Filed under: soil metagenome
Description: partial contains 5.8S ribosomal RNA, internal transcribed spacer 2, and large subunit ribosomal RNA
Rfam family: 5.8S ribosomal RNA (bases 1-120)
Source: RNAcentral
GAUGAAGAACGCAGCGAAAUGCGAUAAGUAAUGUGAAUUGCAGAAUUCAGUGAAUCAUCGAAUCUUUGAACGCACAUUGCGCCCGCCAGUAUUCUGGCGGGCAUGCCUGUUCGAGCGUCAUUUCAACCAUCAAGCCCCCGGCUUGUGUUGGGGACCUGCGGCUGCCGCAGGCCCUGAAAAGCAGUGGCGGGCUCGCUGUCACACCGAGCGUAGUAGCAUACAUCUCGCUCUGGGCGUGCUGCGGGUUCCGGCCGUUAAACCACCUUCAUAACCCAAGGUUGACCUCUGAUCAGGUAGGAAGACCCGCUGAACUUAAGCAUAUCAAUAAGCGGAGGA